AAUCUUGUUUACAAUCACCACAAAAAGAAUAAAAUAUCUAAAAAUAUAGCUAACAGGGAGGUUAAAGAUCUCUACAACAGGAAUUAGAAAACAUUACU
Long non-coding RNA from Cebus imitator (Panamanian white-faced capuchin), 98 nucleotides. RefSeq lists it as uncharacterized. The record is from RefSeq and is a predicted model, not a curated record. The transcript is spliced from 3 exons. Lineage: Eukaryota; Metazoa; Chordata; Mammalia; Primates; Cebidae.